This 1084-nucleotide long non-coding RNA is filed under the name Pan troglodytes (chimpanzee). Its description in RNAcentral is "long non-coding RNA NONPTRT004567". Lineage: Eukaryota; Metazoa; Chordata; Mammalia; Primates; Hominidae. The record is from RNAcentral.
GCUGCCGCCCGGAGGGAAGCAGACGGGGAGUCGGUGGCGACCGCCGAGUCCGCAUGCGCAGGCUGCAAAGGCCCUUUUGGGCCGGUCCCGCCGCGCUAGGUUGGCGAGUGGGACUAUUUGAUCCUUCCCAGGUUCGCCAGCGUGGUGUUCCGAGAGGAAAGCGCAGCCGCAGCGUACGAAUGGGAAGGCCAAACACGGUCCCGAGGAGUCUGAGGGGAGCUGCAGGGCGCCUGGAAUUGGGGUCUCGAGUGAGCCGGUAAAAACCGCCUUCCGCUGAGCGUCCCGGAACAAAUACUGUCUGAACUGAGCCGUAAGCAAGAAACGGUCAGGAGAAGCUGGGGCGAUCUGAUGAUUAGAACAUUUCAGGGACUACCAGAGAGAAGUGCGUAAUUGCUCUAAGGCAGGUAGGUAAUUGGCCUGGAAACUUGGGAACGCCCCGCCCCGCCACCCCGACUUUCAGCAAACCACCGUGCCCAGGAAAAAGAGCGAUUGUGGAAGACCCUGUGAAGAAGAGACCAGGAAGGCACUGUGGCUUAAGAGAGCAAGGCGUUCCUGAAUGCAGCCAACAUCAACUGGUAAACAAAAAACUGUGAGAACGGAUCCUGAAUCUUGCGCUUACCAGGGGAAAUUCAGGAAAGAUAUGAACCUGAGCAAGAUGAGGUUGAAGUUACUCAAUGCGGCAUUAAGCCUGUUCACGGCCACUUCCUCCGGCGUCACCAACACACACACUGUACACCAGCAGUAUUUUUACACGGGGUAUGUGUGUUAAGUACUAUCAAGUGCAUAAUUAUUACUUCACCUGUAUUUGCUGCCUUGAUACCAUUAGAGAAACUCAUGAAUUAUAAAUAGCAUAGUGAAUUUGUGAUUCCCUGAAGAUAUACUAAGGUGGACUUUUAAAAAGGCUUCUAUUCCAAAGGGAACUAAUAUGGAGGAAAUGGUUUCGAGAAAGAAAAAAGAAAAAACGGAGUCCUUGAUUAGUUGUGGGGAAGGCAACAUAAUGUAAUGUGAAGAAUAAAGGAGUCAGAUCCAGGAAACCCCAUAACUAUUAUCUUUCUGCCAUGUGAGGACACUACCAGAAGGCCCU